This 74-nucleotide transfer RNA is filed under the name Treponema sp. Its description in RNAcentral is "tRNA-Ile". It matches the Rfam family "tRNA". Rfam says of the family: Transfer RNA (tRNA) molecules are approximately 80 nucleotides in length. Lineage: Bacteria; Pseudomonadati; Spirochaetota; Spirochaetia; Treponematales; Treponemataceae. RNAcentral also lists the same sequence under 2 other names. The record is from RNAcentral.
GGGCCAGUAGCUCAGUCGGUUAGAGCACUGCUCUGAUAAGGCAGGGGUCAUAAGUUCAACUCUUAUCUGGCCCA